Pongo pygmaeus (Bornean orangutan) is the source of this 1365-nucleotide non-coding RNA. The record is from the annotation of a RefSeq genome assembly. Lineage: Eukaryota; Metazoa; Chordata; Mammalia; Primates; Hominidae.
AUGGAGGGACGAGAGGUCAGGAGUGGUCAGCCUGGCCCUGGGCUGUUGACUGACUCGGGACCUGGGUCCCCACCCUCAGGGCUGGCUGGCGGCUCUGCGCAGUCCCAGAGGGCCCCGGAUAGGGUUCUCUGCCACUCUGAACAGCAGCCGGGACUGCCGAGAGCGGCAAGGGGCUCCGUCCCCCACCCCCGCUGCCACUAUGGAGCCCGGAGGGCUGACUGGCCAGGUCCCCCAGAGCUGGACGUGUGCGUGGAGGAGGCCGAGGGCGAGGCGCCGUGGACGUGGACUGGCCUCUGCAUCUUCGCCGCACUCUUCCUGCUCAGCGUGAGCUACAGCGCUGCCAUCAUGCUCCUCAUGGUGCAGCAGUUCCUCUCAGCCACGCGGCAGGGGAGGCCCCAGACCUCCCUCGGCUACACCAACAUCCUUCAGCCCCACGCCUAGGCCAUGGGCCACUCACACUCCAACAGGCCCAGCUCUUUCUCUGCCGGCGCCUGAGCCUCCCUCGGGCUGCGCCCUGCCCUGGGUGGGAAAAGGGAAGCAGACAAGAGAAGGGGACACAAGGUCACUACUGUGGGCUGAUCAGUGAAUCUGAGCCCAGAGGGGGCCGGCUCAGCCGCAAGGUUAAAGGCGCCGACAGACCCACCAGUCGCAGCCCCCCACCCUAAAACAGUGUCUGUCCCUUCAACAGAGUCAUCGAGGAGGGGGUGGCUGCUAGCCGUUCUAGCUCAUCCCAGGCCCCUGGGUCUCAGGGUCACUCCCAUUCUGACUGUACAAUCACCAAAAGCCAAGGAGGGCCCGGCACCCAGCCCAGGACACAGCUGAGUCUGCGUCCAGCCCAACACCAGCCCACGGCCUCACUCCCCAGCCUUGGUCUGACCCUUCUAGCCCUGAGGUCCAAGUGCCUGGCAUCCCCGUCCCCCAAGCCUCACUCAGACCUUCUUUCCCUUCACCCACCCCUCCUGCCAUCCAUCCACUGCCCCCAUCCCUUCACCCACCCCUCCUGCUAUCUGUCCCCAGCCCCCAUCCCUUCACCCACCCCUCCUGCCAUCCAUCCGCAGCCUCCAUCCCUUCACGCACCCCUCCUGCCACCCAUCCCCAGCCCCCAUCCCUUCACCCACCCCUCCUGCCAUCUGUCCACAGCCCCCAUCCCUGCAGCCUGAAGGCACAGGGAAGCCUUCUGAGGCCAGGCCACAGGACUGUUGAGGGCUUUGGGCCCCUGGAGUGGGUAGAGGGGCUCCCACAGCCAGAGAAGGGGUUUCCUGCAGGGACAGCAGCUGCUGACCUCGUCCCUGUGACCUCGUCCAGCCUCUGGCUUCAGCAGUCCUAUUUCUUUCCCUCUGGGUUUCUUAGUAAAGUUCCUUUUCA